ACAAAAAAGGGGAGCUGAGAGAGGUCGCAGAGGAGGAGAAUAUCUUUCCUGAUAAGUGGACUUCUAACAGAGAUUCUUGCUGCAUACCCAGCUGACACAAAUGAAAGAAUCCUAAAAUAAGCACCAUGCCUGGACUCAUUAACAAGGAGAACCGGAGCGCUCUGCCCCUUAGUGUCUCUGACAUCACUUCCUGUGUCAGGGGUUAUACUUUGGCCCUGACAGCCUCUAUGACCUACGAAAAUAUCGAGGACCAUGCAAUUGAGGGGAUGUUCAUUUAUCCGCUGGAGGAAAAUUCCAUUGUUGUGGG
Molecule: long non-coding RNA, 307 nt
Organism: Micropterus salmoides (largemouth bass)
Lineage: Eukaryota; Metazoa; Chordata; Actinopteri; Centrarchiformes; Centrarchidae
Exons: 3
Source: RefSeq, a predicted model, not a curated record